GCCUACAGGCUUUAGUGACACCCAAUGAAAUUGGCACUAUACAGAGAAGAUUAGCAAGGCCCAGUGCAAGAAUGACCUCACAAAUCGAAAAGUUGUUCAAAUUGUU
Molecule: small nuclear RNA, 106 nt
Organism: Coffea eugenioides
Lineage: Eukaryota; Viridiplantae; Streptophyta; Magnoliopsida; Gentianales; Rubiaceae
Source: RefSeq, a predicted model, not a curated record